GCUGGCGGCGUGCCUAAUACAUGCAAGUCGAGCGAACAGAUGAGAAGCUUGCUUCUCUGAUGUUAGCGGCGGACGGGUGAGUAACACGUGGGUAACCUACCUAUAAGACUGGGAUAACUCCGGGAAACCGGGGCUAAUACCGGAUAAUAUUUUGAACCGCAUGGUUCAAUAGUGAAAGACGGUUUCGGCUGUCACUUAUAGAUGGACCCGCGCCGUAUUAGCUAGUUGGUAAGGUAACGGCUUACCAAGGCGACGAUACGUAGCCGACCUGAGAGGGUGAUCGGCCACACUGGAACUGAGACACGGUCCAGACUCCUACGGGAGGCAGCAGUAGGGAAUCUUCCGCAAUGGGCGAAAGCCUGACGGAGCAACNNCGCGUGAGUGAUGAAGGUCUUCGGAUCGUAAAACUCUGUUGUUAGGGAAGAACAAAUUUGUUAGUAA
This 441-nucleotide ribosomal RNA is filed under the name Mammaliicoccus sciuri. RNAcentral describes it as "bacterial SSU rRNA". It matches the Rfam family "Bacterial small subunit ribosomal RNA", at positions 35 to 464 of the family's 1533-position model. The record is from RNAcentral. Lineage: Bacteria; Bacillati; Bacillota; Bacilli; Caryophanales; Staphylococcaceae.